CGGUAAUUCCAGCUCCAAUAGCGUAUACUAAAGUUGUUGCAGUUAAAAAGCUCGUAGUUGGAUUUCUGCGGGGACGGAGCGGCCGGUCGCAACUUGCGACUCGAGCUAGCGCUUUCCCCGCAUCCUGCCGCGAACCGUGCUACCAUUAGUUUGGCGGCGCUGGGGAUCGGCUCGAUUACUUUGAGAAAAAUAGAGUGUUCAAAGCAGGCCACACGCCUUGAAUAGGUUAGCAUGGAAUGAUGACUAAGGACUUUGGUUCUUUUCGUUGGUGUUCGGGACUGAAGUAAUGAUUGAUAGGGACAGUUGGGGCGGUCCGUAUUCCAAAGCGAGAGGUGAAAUUCUUAGACCUUCGGAAGACGGACAGCUGCGAAAGCGUUCCGCAAGGAUGUUCCCUUUGAUCAAGAACGAAAGCUGGGGGAUCGAAGACGAUCAGAUACCGUCGUAGUCUCAACUAUAAACUAUACCAGCUAGGGAUCGGCCAACGUUUAAUUAUUCGACUUGGUCGGCACCUUAUGGGAAAUCAAAGCAUCUGGGUUCCGGGGGGAGUAUGGUCGCAAGGCUGAAACUUAAAGGAAUUGACGGAAGGGCACCACCAGCCGUGGAGCCUGUGGCUUAAUUUGACUCAACACGGGAAAACUUACCAGGUCCGGACAUAGUAAGGAUUGACAGAUUGAUAGCUCUUUCUUGAUUAUGUGGGUGGUGGUGCAUGGCCGUUUUUAGUAGGUGGAUGUGAUCUGUCUGCUUAAUUGCGUUAACGGACGAGACCCCAGCCUGCUAAAUAGCGCGGCCGUGCUUUGCUCGGUGCGAGCUUCUUAGAGGGACCAUGAUGCGCGAUAGCACAAGGAAGUUUGGGGCAACAACAGGUCUGUGAUGCCCUUAGAUGUUCUGGGCCGCACACGGGCUACACUGGCGCCUGCAACGAGCAUAUCAGCUGGCCCGAGAGGGUCUUGGCUAAUCUUUGGAACCGGCGCCGUGCUUGGGAUUGACCAUUGCAAUUGUUGGUCAUGCAACGAGGAAUGCCUUGUAAUCGCGAGUCAUCAGCUCGCAUUGAAUACGUCCCUGCCCUUUGUACACACCGCCCGUCGCUCCUACCGAUGAAUGUUCCGAUGAAAUUUUCGGAGAGCGCCGGAGAACGGGGCUCCGCCCUGCAGAACUGGAGGCUCAAAGUCACUUAAAUCUGAACAUUUCGAGGAAGGAGAAGUCGUAACAAGGUAGCCG
RNAcentral lists this ribosomal RNA (1218 nucleotides) under uncultured Rhizaria. RNAcentral describes it as "SSU rRNA". It matches the Rfam family "Eukaryotic small subunit ribosomal RNA", at positions 577 to 1805 of the family's 1831-position model. The record is from RNAcentral.